GUCCACGCCGUAAACGAUGUCAACUAGCCGUUGGGAGCCUUGAGCUCUUAGUGGCGCAGCUAACGCAUUAAGUUGACUGCCUGGGGAGUACGGCCGCAAGGUUAAAACUCAAAUGAAUUGACGGGGGCCCGCACAAGCGGUGGAGCAUGUGGUUUAAUUCGAAGCAACGCGAAGAACCUUACCAGGCCUUGACAUCCAAUGAACUUUCUAGAGAUAGAUUGGUGCCUUCGGGAACAUUGAGACAGGUGCUGCAUGGCUGUCGU
Molecule: ribosomal RNA, 263 nt
Filed under: uncultured bacterium
Lineage: Bacteria
Description: partial 16S ribosomal RNA
Rfam family: Bacterial small subunit ribosomal RNA
Source: RNAcentral